GCCUCCGUAGUCUAGAGGUAAGACCCUUCGUUAUCGUGACGCAUAAUCAUGAUCUCUUGCGAAGCGUCAAGGGUUUGAAUCCUCCGGAGGCA
Non-coding RNA from Mycena leptocephala, 92 nucleotides. Lineage: Eukaryota; Fungi; Basidiomycota; Agaricomycetes; Agaricales; Mycenaceae. The record is from the annotation of a GenBank genome assembly.